RNAcentral lists this ribosomal RNA (315 nucleotides) under Fidelibacterota bacterium. Its description in RNAcentral is "partial 23S ribosomal RNA". It matches the Rfam family "Bacterial large subunit ribosomal RNA", at positions 2613 to 2925 of the family's 2925-position model. Lineage: Bacteria; Pseudomonadati; Fidelibacterota. The record is from RNAcentral.
AGAACGUCGUGAGACAGUUCGGUCUCUAUCCGCCGUGGGCGCAGGAGAUUUGAGGAAGGCUGCUUCUAGUACGAGAGGACCGAAGUGGACGAACCUCUAGUGCACCAGUUGUCUUAUCAAAGGCAUCGCUGGGUAGCUAUGUUCGGUCAGGAUAAGCGCUGAAAGCAUAUAAGCGCGAAACCUUUUCCAAGAUUAGAUCUCCCUACCGUAUGGUAAUAAGGCUCGUUGUAGACUACGACGUUGAUAGGCCACAGGUGUAAGUACAGUAAUGUAUUCAGCCGAGUGGUACUAAUAAGCCGAACGGCUUUACCAAAA